RNAcentral lists this ribosomal RNA (183 nucleotides) under Drosophila fumipennis. RNAcentral's name for it is "partial 16S ribosomal RNA". The record is from RNAcentral. Lineage: Eukaryota; Metazoa; Arthropoda; Insecta; Diptera; Drosophilidae.
UUAGAUUUUAUUUAUUAAUCAUUUAUAUUUUUUAAAAAAGUAUUAAAAAUAAUUAUAAAAUAAAAAGUUUUAGUAUUGUUUAAAGAAAAAAUAAAUUUAAUAAUAGUUUAAUAGUAUUGUAAAAGAAAAUUGAAAUAAUUUGAAAAAUUUUUAUUAUAAAAGAAAAUUUAAUUUAUUGUACCU